ACGAUCCUACGGGAGGCAGCAGUAGGGAAUUUUCGUCAAUGGGCGCAAGCCUGAACGAGCAAUGCCGCGUGAGCGAGGAAGGUCUUCGGAUCGUAAAGUUCUGUUGAAGGGGAAAAAGAGCGGAGAGAGGAAAUGGUCUCCGAUUGAUAUUACCCUUCGAGGAAGUCACGGCUAACUACGUGCCAGCAGCCGCGGUAAUACGUAGGUGGCGAGCGUUAUCCGGAAUGAUUGGGCGUAAAGGGGGCGUAGGCGGCCUGCUAAGUCUGGGGGGAAAGG
Molecule: ribosomal RNA, 276 nt
Filed under: uncultured bacterium
Lineage: Bacteria
Description: partial 16S ribosomal RNA
Rfam family: Bacterial small subunit ribosomal RNA
Source: RNAcentral